UUAACCUUUGAUGUGAUGCGGGGUUUUAGUGAGACCCACCUGAAAUAAAAGAAAAACAGCAAGCAUGGAGAAUCGUGGGGGCUGGCAAUGGAGCUUUGAUGUCUAGUGCAUCGGGAAACAGCUCUCGCGCUGUUUUCGCGCGCUUCUCACCCAGAACAAACGACACCCCGUCUAGGACCCACUUCCACACCUCCAAAACACCCGCUCCAUUGACCCACUGAACCCCCACUAGUGCUUUGUUAUUUGUUUUCUGUCUUAUUCUCCAUGGAUAACCCAGUGAUAUCGUCAUGCCAUCCCUCCGGGUAUCACAACUGAGUUCGCUUCUUACGUUUUAUAGUUUCAAGUUCAUGAGGGAGACUUGCAGAGGAAAGUAUUUUACAUAUAUCGCCGGAGUGGUCACCUUCGAUCACUCUGGAAAUCAAGUGGCAGACGACGUAGUUAUCUUUCAUUAGUCUUAGUUUGUUGAAGCAUCUGAAUUCUGCAAUCACCGUAUACCACUCAGAUGGAUGGCUGCACCCAUAGGACCACGAAGAGACUUAUAUGGCCGUCUACAUGACUGUUGGGAUAAAAUUUAAAAAUAAAAGAAGAAAGAAAAAAGAUGAAAGGCGAUGAUUACCAUCGCACACCAAACCACUGUAAAUCUGUAUCGUCAAUUUUUCCUAUGCAUAGUUGUCUGCUAUUUUUGUAUGGUAACUUCAGUUCAAUGGUGGCUUUUCUGUCUUGUCUUCGUGUCUUAUCUCUAUGCUUGGACUUUAAAUGCAACCCACCAAUCGUCAAUA
RNAcentral lists this long non-coding RNA (779 nucleotides) under Populus trichocarpa (black cottonwood). RNAcentral's name for it is "long non-coding RNA (PTRI_LNC000627)". Lineage: Eukaryota; Viridiplantae; Streptophyta; Magnoliopsida; Malpighiales; Salicaceae. The record is from RNAcentral.